UAGUGUUAGUUGGAAGAAUAGCAUUCCCUCUUAUACAUAUGUAACAAUUGAGGAGCGCUUUUUUGAUUUUAUCGAGAUAUCUUUGAUUGUAAAAGAGUCUCAGAGCAAGUUUAGCAACAUAAAUUAGCAGACGACGAUAAUAGCCAGUCUGUUUACAGGAAACGUCAGGCUGGGCUGCAUUAUUUUUAAUCAAUUUACGUUCUUAUUACAUAUUCCAUUAUUCCUGGUACCGUUUCUGAUUUAAAUGUUACGUCUAGUUCAAUUAGUCCAUUGCCGAGACUAUUACCUGAGCAUGUUUCUGAUUUCGUCCCCCAAUCUUUACUUUUUUGGAUCAUUUUGACGACUCAAAUUAGUACAUGCUCGUACUACGAAAAAGAAUGAGUCGAAUUGGUAUCGAAAAGCUAAAGAUCCUGUAUUCCAGUUUCUCCUGUGCACACCUCGAGCAGAGCAACAACAAAGUCAACACAUAGGUCUCAAGGAAUUUAAAAAAAAAAAACCUUGCUUAACCACAAGUUGCCACUUAAGCGUAAUAGAAGUCUGUAUAGAAAGCUAGCUGAAACAGGUUGACGGAACUAUUUCAAUCAUGAAAUAGUGUAGAAAAAUGUCUCAAUCAAACAAACCAGAAUGUUGAAACAUGAGGGUGAAGAAGGGAAUAUAAGUCAGGAAUUACUCGCUUAUCCUGUUUUGUUGGUGAGCUGGUGAAAAGCACACUUGAUUAUCGUCUCUACAUUUAGUCAUCCCAAACUUCUCAAACUUGAACGCUGUGAUCUUAUUGAAGAUGUAAAAAACUUUAACAUUCAUUUUUUAGGGGAAAGAAGAAUUCACACAAAAUGUGUUCUAUAGGUCAUGUGAUUGGUGAUGAAACUGAUGACAAAUUGUUACAAUACUCUGGCGUUCCAUUGGGUGUAGCUUGCACUCUAGUUUGCGUGGUACAACCCAACAGAUCCUUGAUGAAGCUGAAUUUGUGUUUUACAGUCGACUUUUAAGAAAAUAAGCAAUGUCUUCGGCAACGAUUGUAAAGAAGUAGGCCCUACUGAUGGACCAUGACAGUAUAUACUUUGACUGCCAAGACUCCUAACAAAGAAUGAAUGGGGCUAUAGAGAAUUUCACUGCCCGCGCUAUUCUAUGCAGCUACUCGUCGUGAUUGCCAACAAUUAGGGUUAGGAUUCAGCCCAACUUGUGUCGUCAUAGCUUCGAGCUAAACAUUAAGAAGGAAAAGCCACCUUUGGUCUAAUUCAUCGUAUGAACCCUGGCAAAAUUAAUUAGAUACAGCAGUUGGGAGUCACAAUAUCCUUUUUUGUCAAGCGUCACGUGCUAGUUAAAAGGUUUACC
Long non-coding RNA from Daphnia pulicaria, 1332 nucleotides. RefSeq lists it as uncharacterized. The record is from RefSeq and is a predicted model, not a curated record. Lineage: Eukaryota; Metazoa; Arthropoda; Branchiopoda; Diplostraca; Daphniidae. The transcript is spliced from 6 exons.